This 1433-nucleotide ribosomal RNA is filed under the name Candidatus Phytoplasma balanitae. Its description in RNAcentral is "bacterial SSU rRNA". It matches the Rfam family "Bacterial small subunit ribosomal RNA". Lineage: Bacteria; Bacillati; Mycoplasmatota; Mollicutes; Acholeplasmatales; Acholeplasmataceae. The record is from RNAcentral.
GGCUCAGGAUUAACGCUGGCGGCGCGCCUAAUACAUGCAAGUCGAACGGAGACCCCUUAAAAGGUCUUAGUGGCGAACGGGUGAGUAACACGUAAGUAACCUACCUUUAAGACGAGGAUAACAAUUGGAAACGGUUGCUAAGACUGGAUAGGAAAUAAAAAGGCAUCUUUUUAUUUUUAAAAGACCUUCUUCGGAGGGUAUGCUUAAAGAGGGGCUUGCGCCACAUUAGUUAGUUGGUGAGGUAAAGGCUCACCAAGAUUAUGAUGUGUAGCUGGACUGAGAGGUUGAACAGCCACAUUGGGACUGAGACACGGCCCAAACUCCUACGGGAGGCAGCAGUAGGGAAUUUUCGGCAAUGGAGGAAACUCUGACCGAGCGACGCCGCGUGAACGAUGAAGUAUUUCGGUAUGUAAAGUUCUUUUAUUGAAGAAGAAAAAAUAAUGGAAAAAUUAUCUUGACGUUAUUCAAUGAAUAAGCCCCGGCUAACUAUGUGCCAGCAGCCGCGGUAAGACAUAGGGGGCGAGCGUUAUCCGGAAUUAUUGGGCGUAAAGGGUGCGUAGGCGGUUAAAUAAGUCUAUAAUUUAAUUUCAGUGCUUAACGCUGUCUUGUUAUAGAAACUAUUUUGACUAGAGUGAGAUAGAGGCAAGCGGAAUUCCAUGUGUAGCGGUAAAAUGUGUAAAUAUAUGGAGGAACACCAGAAGCGUAGGCGGCUUGCUGGGUCUUUACUGACGCUGAGGCACGAAAGCGUGGGGAGCAAACAGGAUUAGAUACCCUGGUAGUCCACGCUGUAAACGAUGAGUACUAAGUGUCGGGGUAACUCGGUACUGAAGUUAACACAUUAAGUACUCCGCCUGAGUAGUACGUACGCAAGUAUGAAACUUAAAGGAAUUGACGGGACUCCGCACAAGCGGUGGAUCAUGUUGUUUAAUUCGAAGAUACACGAAAAACCUUACCAGGUCUUGACAUACUCUGCAAAGCUAUAGAAAUAUAGUGGAGGUUAUCAGGGAUACAGGUGGUGCAUGGUUGUCGUCAGUUCGUGUCGUGAGAUGUUAGGUUAAGUCCUAAAACGAACGCAACCCCUUUCGUUAGUUGCCAGCACGUAAUGGUGGGGACUUUAGCGAUACUGCCAAUUAAAAGUUGGAGGAAGGUGGGGAUAACGUCAAAUCAUCAUGCCCCUUAUGAUCUGGGCUACAAACGUGAUACAAUGGCCGUUACAAAGAGUAGCUGAAACGCGAGUUCUUAGCCAAUCUCAAAAAGACGGUCUCAGUCCGGAUUGAAGUCUGCAACUCGACUUCAUGAAGCUGGAAUCGCUAGUAAUCGCGAAUCAGCAUGUCGCGGUGAAUACGUUCUCGGGGUUUGUACACACCGCCCGUCAACCCAUGAAAGUUUGCAAUACCCGAAAGCAGUGGCUUAACUUCGUAAGAAGAGGGAGC